UUGAACGCUGGCGGCAUGCUUAACACGUGCAAGUCGAACGGUAACGCGGGGGCAACCCUGGCGACGAGUGGCGGGCGGGUGAGUAAUGCUUGGGAAUCUACCCAGUAGCGGGGGAUAACCUAGGGAAACUUAGGCUAAUACCGCAUACGACCUACGGGUGAAAGCGGGGGAUCGUAAGACCUCGCACUAUUGGAUGAGCCCAAGUCGGAUUAGCUAGUUGGCGGGGUAACGGCCCACCAAGGCUACGAUCCGUAGCUGGUCUGAGAGGACGAUCAGCCACACUGGUACUGAGACACGGCCCAGACUCCUACGGGAGGCAGCAGUGGGGAAUAUUGGACAAUGGGGGCAACCCUGAUCCAGCAAUGCCGCGUGUGUGAAGAAGGCCUGCGGGUUGUAAAGCACUUUCAGUAGGGAAGAAAAGCCCGGGACUAAUAUUCCCGGGUCUUGACGUUACCUAAAGAAGAAGCACCGGCUAACUCCGU
Molecule: ribosomal RNA, 482 nt
Filed under: uncultured bacterium
Lineage: Bacteria
Description: bacterial SSU rRNA
Rfam family: Bacterial small subunit ribosomal RNA
Source: RNAcentral